RNAcentral lists this transfer RNA (75 nucleotides) under Deltaproteobacteria bacterium. Its description in RNAcentral is "tRNA-Val". It matches the Rfam family "tRNA". Rfam says of the family: Transfer RNA (tRNA) molecules are approximately 80 nucleotides in length. Their secondary structure includes four short double-helical elements and three loops (D, anti-codon, and T loops). The record is from RNAcentral. Lineage: Bacteria; Pseudomonadati; Myxococcota; Myxococcia. RNAcentral also lists the same sequence under 2 other names.
GGGCGGGUAGCUCAGCGGUAGAGCAGCUGUCUUACACACAGCGGGUCGCAGGUUCGAAACCUGUCCCGCCCACCA